GACGAACGCUGGCGGCGUGCUUAACACAUGCAAGUCGAACGGAAAGGCCCUGCUUUUGUGGGGUGCUCGAGUGGCGAAAGGGUGAGUAACACGUGAGUAACCUGCCCUUGACUUUGGGAUAACUUCAGGAAACUGGGGCUAAUACCGGAUAUGAGCUCCUGCUGCAUGGUGGGGGUUGGAAAGUUUCGGCGGUUGGGGAUGGACUCGCGGCUUAGCAGCUUGUUGGUGGGGUAGUGGCUUACCAAGGCUUUGACGGGUAGCCGGCCUGAGAGGGUGACCGGCGACAUUGGGACUGAGAUACGGCCCAGACUCCUACGGGAGGCAGCAGUGGGGAAUAUUGCACAAUGGGCGGAAGCCUGAUGCAGCAACGCCGCGUGCGGGAUGACGGCCUUCGGGUUGUAAACCGCUUUCGCCUGUGACGAAGCGUGAGUGACGGUAAUGGGUAAAGAAGCACCGGCUAACUACGUG
RNAcentral lists this ribosomal RNA (468 nucleotides) under uncultured bacterium. RNAcentral describes it as "partial 16S ribosomal RNA". It matches the Rfam family "Bacterial small subunit ribosomal RNA", at positions 28 to 507 of the family's 1533-position model. The record is from RNAcentral.